AGAGUUUGAUCAUGGCUCAGAGUGAACGCUGGCGGCGUGCUUAACACAUGCAAGUCGAACGAGAACGGAUUAUAGCUUGCUAUAAUUGUCAGCUAAGUGGCGCACGGGUGAGUAAUGUAUAGAUAACCUGCCCUUAAGAAAGGAAUAACAGUUGGAAACGACUGCUAAUGCCCUAUAUGCCUUUAAUACAUAAGUAUGCAAGGGAAACGCUUUAGUGCUUAAGGAUGGGUCUGUAUGGUAUCAGCUUGUUGGUGAGGUAAUGGCUCACCAAGGCUAUGACGCCUAACUGGUUUGAGAGGAUGAUCAGUCACACUGGAACUGAGACACGGUCCAGACUCCUACGGGAGGCAGCAGUGGGGAAUAUUGCACAAUGGACGAAAGUCUGAUGCAGCAACGCCGCGUGGAGGAUGACACAUUUCGGUGCGUAAACUCCUUUUAUAUAGGAAGAUAAUGACGGUACUAUAUGAAUAAGCACCGGCUAACUCCGUGCCAGCAGCCGCGGUAAUACGGAGGGUGCAAGCGUUACUCGGAAUCACUGGGCGUAAAGAGCGUGUAGGCGGGUAUAUAAGUCAGAAGUGAAAUCCAAUAGCUCAACUAUUGAACUGCUUUUGAAACUGUAUACCUAGAAUGUGGGAGAGGUAGAUGGAAUUUCUGGUGUAGGGGUAAAAUCCGUAGAGAUCAGAAGGAAUACCGAUUGCGAAGGCGAUCUACUGGAACAUUAUUGACGCUGAGACGCGAAAGCGUGGGGAGCAAACAGGAUUAGAUACCCUGGUAGUC
Molecule: ribosomal RNA, 777 nt
Filed under: uncultured Arcobacter sp.
Lineage: Bacteria; Pseudomonadati; Campylobacterota; Epsilonproteobacteria; Campylobacterales; Arcobacteraceae
Description: bacterial SSU rRNA
Rfam family: Bacterial small subunit ribosomal RNA
Source: RNAcentral